Molecule: ribosomal RNA, 1050 nt
Filed under: Triticum aestivum (bread wheat)
Lineage: Eukaryota; Viridiplantae; Streptophyta; Magnoliopsida; Poales; Poaceae
Description: partial small subunit ribosomal RNA
Source: RNAcentral
AUGACAGCUUCGCAGAGUUCAAUAGCGAGUGUGCCGUCGAGGUGCACAGCAGAGACGGCGCGGGGCACGGUUGCGUUCAAGAUCGCCGGCUACAGCCUGCACAAGGGCCUCGGUAUAGGCAAAUGGCUCCGUUCUCCGUCAUUCUCCAUCGGCGGCUACGAGUGGUGCAUCUACUACUACCCCGACGGAUACCAAGAAGAGAAUAGCACAGGUCACGUCUCCAUCCUCCUCAGGCUCUUGACCAAGAACGCCAAGGUGAGGGUGCUCCACAAGUUGAUGCUUGUGGAGCCGGUUAGUGGGCGGUCGAUUGUGGUGAACUCCUGCAAAACGCCUAAAGUGUUCGACGAUAAAAUGUCUUGGGCCGUACCAAAGUUCAUGAAGACGACCGCUGAAGUAGAGUCGGUGUACCUGCAGAACGAUUGUCUCCUGAUCGAGUGUGAACUCAGUGUUAUCAAGGAAACUGAGAUCCAUGUGCCGCCCUCUGACCUUUCGGAUAAUCUUGCAACCUUGCUAGAGGGGAAGAUAGGAGCAGAGGUGACUUUCAAGGUUCAAGGGGAGGUUUUUUCCGCUCAUAAGAUUUUGCUUGCAAUGCGAUCGGCGGUCUUCAACGCACAGUUCUAUGGGCCGAUGAGGGACAAGGGGGCACAUGACAUAACUAUUGAUGACAUGCAGUCUGCUGUUUUCAAGUCAUUUCUUCACUUCAUCUACACUGAUUCAAUGCCUUCCAUGGACGAUCUCGAGGAUGAUGACAAAAGAGAAAUGGUUAAACACUUACUGGUGGCUGCAGAUAAGUAUGCAAUGGGAAGGAUGAAGAUGAUAUGUGAAGGCAUGAUAUGCAAGAGUCUUGAUGUUGAGAAUGUGGCGACUCUAUUAGCUCUAGCUGACAAGCACAAUUGCAGAAAUCUCAAAGAUGCUUGCAUUGAAUUUAUGCUCUCUUCGAAUAGAAUGAAUGAUGUGAUUGCAAGCCAAGGGUAUGUACAACUCAAAAGAUCUUCGCCUGAUAUCAUUGUGGAUGUGUUGGAGAGAGCAGCUAAAUCCCGCAAAAUUUAG